AGCUGGUCGGUAGGUACUGAAUUAUCUCAUUAUUCACAGUCAGUUACAGAUUGAACUCCUUGGUCUACACCCCCCCACCCCUUUCUCAGUACUGUACUUGCCUAGUCUAAA
This 111-nucleotide non-coding RNA is filed under the name Jaculus jaculus (lesser Egyptian jerboa). Lineage: Eukaryota; Metazoa; Chordata; Mammalia; Rodentia; Dipodidae. The record is from RNAcentral.